AUGAGGACAAAAAGAAGCUGCGCAUCUGCAAAUUUUCAAACGCGUUCAAAUUUUCCAAAGAAUCCGACAGAAACUUUAAGUGCUCAAUUAAAUACUGCCGACAGGCACAGGCACAGAGUAGUAGUUCCUCGAAAAAAUCACUCAUUUCUUUUUCGAGGAAUAUUGUACGGGGAGUACUUGAUUUCCGUGGAUUGUGGGGCUAAAAUAAAAAAGAAACAAUUGGAGAUUUUCCUCCUAGUUCGAAAUAAUUCAAACCGGGGCAACAAUCCAGACAAAAAAAGGGCACAAGAUUCCAAAGAUUUGCAGGGCAAACUCAAGAACAUCGAGCGCCGCAUAUUCACCGCUCAAAUCUUCCGAGCUCGCAAUCUUUCAACCCCCCAGCAAAAAGACCCGUAA
Molecule: ribosomal RNA, 396 nt
Filed under: Triticum aestivum (bread wheat)
Lineage: Eukaryota; Viridiplantae; Streptophyta; Magnoliopsida; Poales; Poaceae
Description: partial small subunit ribosomal RNA
Source: RNAcentral